CCCUUAGAUGUUCUGGGCCGCACGCGCGCUACACUGAUGCAUUCAACGAGUCUAAAACCUGCUCUGAUAGGGGUGGGUAAUCUUUUGAAUGUGCAUCGUGAUUGGGAUAGAUGAUUGCAAUUUCUCAUCUUCAACGAGGAAUGCCUAGUAAACGCAAGUCAUCAGCUUGCAUUGAUUACGUCCCUGCCCUUUGUACACACCGCCCGUCGCUCCUACCGAUUGAAUGAUCCGAUGAAUAUCAUGGAUUGAGGAUGCAAGUAGGUUCGCCUAUCUUCAUCUUCGAGAAGUGAAGUAAAUCUUAUCAUUUAGAGGAAGGAGAAGUCGUAACA
RNAcentral lists this ribosomal RNA (329 nucleotides) under uncultured eukaryote. Its description in RNAcentral is "partial 18S ribosomal RNA". It matches the Rfam family "Eukaryotic small subunit ribosomal RNA", at positions 1470 to 1796 of the family's 1831-position model. The record is from RNAcentral.